This 563-nucleotide ribosomal RNA is filed under the name uncultured bacterium. Its description in RNAcentral is "partial 16S ribosomal RNA". It matches the Rfam family "Bacterial small subunit ribosomal RNA", at positions 355 to 1376 of the family's 1533-position model. The record is from RNAcentral.
UGGGGAAUAUUGCACAAUGGGCGAAAGCCUGAUGCAGCAACGCCGCGUGAGUGAUGAAGGCCUUCGGGUUGUAAAGCUCUGUCUUUUGGGACGAUAAUGACGGUACCAAAGGAGGAAGCCACGGCUAACUACGUGCCAGCAGCCGCGGUAAUACGUAGGUGGCAAGCGUUGUCCGGAUUUACUGGGCGUAAAGGAUGCGUAGGCGGAUUUUUAAGUGAGAUGUGAAAACCCUAAGCUUAACUUGGGGACUGCAUUUCAUACUGGAAAUCUAGAGUGCGGGAGAGGAGAAUGGAAUUCCUAGUGUAGCGGUGAAAUGCGUAGAGAUUAGGAAGAACACCAGUGGCGAAGGCGAUUCUCUGGACCGUAACUGACGCUGAGGCAUGAAAGCGUGAGUAGCAAACAGGAUUAGAUACCCUGGUAGUCCACGCCGUAAACGAUGAGUACUAGGUGUAGGAGGUAUCGACCCCUUCUGUGCCGCAGUUAACACAAUAAGUACUCCGCCUGGGAAGUACGAUCGCAAGAUUAAAACUCAAAUGAAUUGACGGGGUCAUAGCUGUUUCCUG